This 191-nucleotide small nuclear RNA is filed under the name Tupaia belangeri chinensis (Chinese tree shrew). RNAcentral describes it as "Tupaia chinensis (Chinese tree shrew) U2 spliceosomal RNA". It matches the Rfam family "U2 spliceosomal RNA". Rfam says of the family: U2 is a small nuclear RNA (snRNA) component of the spliceosome (involved in pre-mRNA splicing). The record is from Rfam by way of RNAcentral. Lineage: Eukaryota; Metazoa; Chordata; Mammalia; Scandentia; Tupaiidae.
AUCGGUUCUCUGCCUUUUGGCUAAGAUCAAGUGUAGUAUCUGUUCUUAUCAGUUUAAUAUCUGAUACGUCCUCUAUCCAAGGAUAAUAUAUUAAAUGGAUUUUUGGAAUAGGGAGUUGGAAUAGGGGCUUGCUCCGUCCACUCCAUGCAUCGACCUGGUAUUGCAGUACCUCCAGGAAUGGUGCACCAAAA